This 670-nucleotide ribosomal RNA is filed under the name uncultured marine Syndiniales. Its description in RNAcentral is "SSU rRNA". It matches the Rfam family "Eukaryotic small subunit ribosomal RNA", at positions 436 to 1115 of the family's 1831-position model. The record is from RNAcentral. Lineage: Eukaryota; Dinophyceae; Syndiniales.
GCAAAUUACCCAAUCCUGACACAGGGAGGUAGUGACAAGAAAUAAAUAUGAGGCUCUUUUGUCUUGUAAUUGGAAUGAGCACAAUUAAAAAGCUGUUCGAGUAUCGAUUGGAGGGCAAGUCUGGUGCCAGCAGCCGCGGUAAUUCCAGCUCCAAUAGCGUAUAUUAAAGUUGUUGCGGUUAAAAAGCUCGUAGUUGGAUUUCUGUCGAGGAUGACCGGUCCGCACUUUGUGCGUGCAUCUGGUUCAGCCUUGGCAUCCUCCUGGGGAACGUAUCUGCGCUUAAUUGCGUGGUGCGGUAUUCAGGACUUUUACUUUGAGGAAAUUAGAGUGUUCACGGCAGGCAAUCGCCUUGAAUACAUUAGCAUGGAAUAAUAAUAUAGGACCUUGGUCCCAUUUUGUUGGUUUCUGGAACUAAGGUAAUGAUUAAUAGGGAUAAUUGGGGGCAUUCGUAUUAACGUGUCAAAGGUGGAAUUCUAGGAUUACGUUACGACGAACUACUGCAAAAGCAUUUGCCAAGGAUGUUUUCAUUGAUCAAAAACGAAAGUUCGGGGAUCGAAAAUGAUUAAAUACCAUCGUAGUCCGAACCAUAAACUAUGCCAACUAGAGAUGGGCGAUCGUUAUUUUUUUGACUUCGUCCGCACCUUAUGAAAAAUCAAAGUCUUUGGGUUCC